This is a small nucleolar RNA of 93 nucleotides. Its record names the gene SNORD116. It matches the Rfam family "Small nucleolar RNA SNORD116". From Rfam's summary of the family: HBII-85 is a member of the C/D class of snoRNAs, which contain the C (UGAUGA) and D (CUGA) box motifs. HBII-85 is encoded in a tandemly repeated array with another C/D snoRNA, HBII-52, in the Prader-Willi syndrome (PWS) region of chromosome 15. The record is from Ensembl.
GGAUCGAUGAUGAUUUCCAAUAUAACAUUCCUUGGAAAGCUGAACAAAAUGAGUGAAAACUCAAUACCGACACUAUCAUCGUGACUGAGGUCC